Molecule: long non-coding RNA, 455 nt
Organism: Peromyscus leucopus (white-footed mouse)
Lineage: Eukaryota; Metazoa; Chordata; Mammalia; Rodentia; Cricetidae
Exons: 2
Source: RefSeq, a predicted model, not a curated record
GAAAAUAGGAAUGCGUCCAGAUGAUACAUUGGGACGCCAGUGUAGCAAAGUGCCCUACACAGACAAGAUAUCCAUCAAACAUUUAGUGAAAGAAUGAGUGCAUUCACUCAAUACAUGCUGAAUGAAUGGAUAACACAAAUCAUGGCACGUGGAAAAAGCGACAUGUGUAGAAGUCAGAGGACAACUAGCAGAAGACGGUUCCCUCCUUCUGUCAUGAGGGUCCCUGGGAUUGAACUCUGAUCAUCAGGCUUAGAGCAUCAGUCACCUUGAAUGCGGAGCCAUCUCUCCAGUCUCUGAUAAACCAGCUGCAGUACUAUACUCCUGUCAUCCCAGAACUGAGAAGGCUGAGGGAGCAAAACUGCAAGAAUUCCAGCCUGGCCUACAUAGCAAGAGCCGAGACCUGUAUUGUAAAAGAAUAAAUAAAUAAAGCUCCCCAAUGGAUUCAAACUGCUUAA